Molecule: ribosomal RNA, 400 nt
Filed under: uncultured bacterium
Lineage: Bacteria
Description: bacterial SSU rRNA
Rfam family: Bacterial small subunit ribosomal RNA
Source: RNAcentral
GAAUCUUGGACAAUGGGGGAAACCCUGAUCCAGCCAUGCCGCGUGAGUGAUGAAGGCCUUAGGGUCGUAAAGCUCUUUCGCCUGGGAAGAUAAUGACGGUACCAGGUAAAGAAACCCCGGCUAACUCCGUGCCAGCAGCCGCGGUAAUACGGAGGGGACUAGCGUUGUUCGGAAUUACUGGGCGUAAAGCGCACGUAGGCGGAUUCGUAAGUCAGGGGUGAAAUCCCGAGGCUCAACCUCGGAACUGCCUUUGAUACUGCGAAUCUCGAGUCCGGAAGAGGUGAGUGGAAUUCCUAGUGUAGAGGUGAAAUUCGUAGAUAUUAGGAAGAACACCAGUGGCGAAGGCGGCUCACUGGUCCGGUACUGACGCUGAGGUGCGAAAGCGUGGGGAGCAAACAGG